RNAcentral lists this ribosomal RNA (492 nucleotides) under uncultured bacterium. Its description in RNAcentral is "partial 16S ribosomal RNA". It matches the Rfam family "Bacterial small subunit ribosomal RNA", at positions 29 to 507 of the family's 1533-position model. The record is from RNAcentral.
AGUGAACGCUGGCGGUAGGCCUAACACAUGCAAGUCGAACGGCAGCACAGUAAGAGCUUGCUCUUACGGGUGGCGAGUGGCGGACGGGUGAGGAAUACAUCGGAAUCUACUUUUUCGUGGGGGAUAACGUAGGGAAACUUACGCUAAUACCGCAUACGACCUACGGGUGAAAGCAGGGGAUCUUCGGACCUUGCGCGACUGAAUGAGCCGAUGUCGGAUUAGCUAGUUGGCGGGGUAAAGGCCCACCAAGGCGACGAUCCGUAGCUGGUCUGAGAGGAUGAUCAGCCACCCUGGAACUGAGACACGGUCCAGACUCCUACGGGAGGCAGCAGUGGGGAGUAUUGGACAAUGGGCGCAAGCCUGAUCCAGCCAUACCGCGUGGGUGAAGAAGGCCUUCGGGUUGUAGAGCCCUUUUGUUGGGAAAGAAAAGCAGCAGGUUAAUACCCCGCUGUUCUGACGGUACCCAAAGAAUAAGCACCGGCUAACUUCGUG